UACGUAGGUGGCAAGCGUUGUCCGGAUUUACUGGGCGUAAAGAGCGCGCAGGCGGUCGUUCAAGUCGCGUGUGAAAGCCCCCGGCUCAACUGGGGAGGGUCACGCGAUACUGAUCGACUCGGAGGCAGGAGAGGGUAGUGGAAUUCCCGGUGUAGUGGUGAAAUGCGUAGAUAUCGGGAGGAACACCAGUGGCGAAGGCGACUACCUGGCCUGUUUCUUGACGCUGAGGCGCGAAAGCUAGGGGAGCAAACGGG
This 254-nucleotide ribosomal RNA is filed under the name uncultured bacterium. Its description in RNAcentral is "partial 16S ribosomal RNA". It matches the Rfam family "Bacterial small subunit ribosomal RNA", at positions 524 to 776 of the family's 1533-position model. The record is from RNAcentral.